GAAAGAGAUCCCGGGAGAUGCACCGGACGGAAAGUCAUUUCCGGUUUUGCUCUACCUUUGAAGCUGAAACGAGAGCCACCUUAAGUGUUGGCAGAAUGGCGGAUAUGUUUUUCAUGGGAGUUCUUUCACGCUUCCGGGAGAGCAACCUGCGGCACACGGAACUUACCUGUGACCAGGGAUUGAACCCACGUCCCUUGCAGUGGAAGGCUGAGUCUUAACCACCGGACCACCAAGGAAGACCCCUACUUAACAGGAAUAGCUUAAAGUACUGUUGGGUGUUUACACUGUGGAGCCAAUUUUCAAGCCAGACCACUCGAGCAUAAUCUCUCGCAACACUCCAGUUAAAGAAGCCCAGAACUGUGAAGAACAAAGAGAAGGUAGGUGAUUGGAAUGAGAUCCUUGGAAGAGAAAGAAAAGGGGCCAGUCAGGGAUGCUAAUUCCCAGAGCUCUGUAACUCCUCUGGACUCAAGGCCUCACUUUCUGGGUGCAGACCUGGAGGAUGACAAACUUUCGACUUACAGAGAAAAACUGAAGACCUACAAGUAAAUAUCUACAACAAAUGAUGGUUCUUAUAAUCACAUGUACUACCACAUGUUCUUUGUCUUGCUAGCAUUAAGGGAGUUAACGCAAUGAAGGGUAAGGGAAAAGUACCCUUUGCAGAACUUUAUUAAAUAAGAAAGCAUUGGCAAGCAAACCUUGGUUUUAUUGGAUGAUUUCCGCCUGGCCUCUUUCAGGUGGCAGUUGCCAUGGUGUUUUAGGGGCAGAGGGAGGGAGUGAAGAUCAAGGAGGUCAUUCGGACUGAGGCUUUUCUGGUGUUUCUU
Balaenoptera acutorostrata (minke whale) is the source of this 821-nucleotide long non-coding RNA. RefSeq lists it as uncharacterized. The record is from RefSeq and is a predicted model, not a curated record. The transcript is spliced from 5 exons. Lineage: Eukaryota; Metazoa; Chordata; Mammalia; Artiodactyla; Balaenopteridae.